CGAACGCUGGCGGCGUGCCUAAUACAUGCAAGUCGAACGCAUCCUUCGGGGUGAGUGGCGCACGGCUGAGUAACACGUGGGAAUCUGUCUUCUAGUGGGGGAUAACGUCUCGAAAGAGACGCUAAUCCCGCAUACGCUCGGCAACGAGUAAAGGCGCAAGUCGCUAGAAGAGGAGCCUGCGGCCCAUCAGGUAGUUGGAGAGGUAAUGGCUCACCAAGCCUAUGACGGGUAGCUGGUCUGUGAGGACAACCAGCCAGACUGGGACUGAGAACGGCCCAGACUCCUACGGGAGGCAGCAGUAAGGAAUUUUCGUCAAUGGGGGAAACCCUGAACGAGCAACGCCGCGUGGAGGAUGACGGUCUUCGGAUUGUAAACUCCUUUUGUGAGGGACGAUAAUGACGGUACCUCGCGAAUAAGCCCCGGCUAACUCUGUGCCAGCAGCCGCGGUAAUCUGAUGGCGCGAGG
Molecule: ribosomal RNA, 465 nt
Filed under: uncultured Roseiflexus sp.
Lineage: Bacteria; Bacillati; Chloroflexota; Chloroflexia; Chloroflexales; Roseiflexaceae
Description: bacterial SSU rRNA
Rfam family: Bacterial small subunit ribosomal RNA
Source: RNAcentral